Molecule: ribosomal RNA, 468 nt
Filed under: uncultured bacterium
Lineage: Bacteria
Description: partial 16S ribosomal RNA
Rfam family: Bacterial small subunit ribosomal RNA
Source: RNAcentral
GACGAACGCUGGCGGCGUGCUUAACACAUGCAAGUCGAACGGAAAGGCCCUGCUUUUGUGGGGUGCUCGAGUGGCGAACGGGUGAGUAACACGUGAGUAACCUGCCCUUGACUUUGGGAUAACUUCAGGAAACUGGGGCUAAUACCGGAUAGGAGCUCCUGCUGCAUGGUGGGGGUUGGAAAGUUUCGGCGGGUGGGGAUGGACUCGCGGCUUAUCAGCUUGUUGGUGGGGUAGUGGCUUACCAAGGCUUUGACGGGUAGCCGGCCUGAGAGGGUGACCGGCCACAUUGGGACUGAGAUACGGCCCAGACUCCUACGGGAGGCAGCAGUGGGGAAUAUUGCACAAUGGGCGGAAGCCUGAUGCAGUAACGCCGCGUGCGGGAUGACGGCCUUCGGGUUGUAAACCGCUUUCGCCUGUGACGAAGCGUGAGUGACGGUAAUGGGUAAAGAAGCACCGGCUAACUACGUG